RNAcentral lists this ribosomal RNA (826 nucleotides) under Brotia torquata. RNAcentral describes it as "partial 16S ribosomal RNA". It matches the Rfam family "Bacterial large subunit ribosomal RNA", at positions 1416 to 2565 of the family's 2925-position model. The record is from RNAcentral. Lineage: Eukaryota; Metazoa; Mollusca; Gastropoda; Pachychilidae.
CGAUGUCAGCUUAAUAAAUUGUUUUAUAUUUUAAUUUGUUAAGGAUAAGCUUAAUAAAAGCAGGAAAGAUGUAUAAACCAAAUGAGUUAUGUAGGCCUGAAAUUAGCCAUCAUAGUAGAACUUGUUACAAAAUAACUUGUAAAAUUGGAAAGAUUUUAAUACUUAUUUUCCUAGUGUUAUGGGGGUAAUAGAAGAAAUUGGUGAAUUUAAUUUAUGUAUGCUAAGAUGAGUAUUUUAAAAUUUUUAAUAAGAUAAAAAAAUUAAAAAAUAUCUACGAUAACAGUUUAUUGAAAAAAUAAAGUAAGAAAAAGGAACUCGGCAAAUAUAAGCUUCGCCUGUUUAUCAAAAACAUGGCUCUCUGCCAAUCAAAUAUAGAGAGUUGAACCUGCCCGGUGGAAAUUUUUAACGGCCGCGGUACCCUGACCGUGCAAAGGUAGCAUAAUCAUUUGCCUUAUAAUUGAAGGCUUGUAUGAAUGGUUUGACGGAAGCAUUGCUGUCUCUUUUUUAAUAACUAGAAUUUGACCUUUAGGUGAAGAGGCCUAAAUAUAAUUGAAAGACAAGAAGACCCUAUCGAGCUUAAAAACUAAAUUAGAAAUAAACUAUAAAGUUUAGAUUCACUGCUAAUUGACUUUUUUAAUUGGGGCGAUUGAGGAAUAAUAAAAGCUUCCUUCUUUGUUUUAACUUAUAAGUAUUGAUCCAGCUAAGGCUGAUUGGAAGAAUUAGUUACCGUAGGGAUAACAGCAUAAUCUCUCUUGAGAGACCUAAUCGAAAGAGGGGGUUGUGACCUCCAUGUUGGACUACAAUAUCCUAAAGGCGCAGAANCUUU